RNA transcript from Mus pahari (shrew mouse), 750 nucleotides. It is a transcript of the gene named mitochondrial intermembrane space import and assembly protein 40 pseudogene, with no coding region annotated. The record is from RefSeq and is a predicted model, not a curated record. The transcript is spliced from 3 exons. NCBI's taxonomy places the organism in Eukaryota, Metazoa, Chordata, Mammalia, Rodentia, Muridae.
AUGGUCCCUACCUCAGGGGGCUUUGGCCGAGGCUCUGCCCUCCCUACCGCUCUGGAUGCAGAGUGUCAGUGGGCUCGCUCGCCGGCAGCCAGCAGCCCCCACCUGCAGCGCCACAGCCCAGAGUCUGCGGAGCCACCUCCCCAGCCCACAGCCGGUGCCGCAGGAGCUGGAAAAGGACUUGGGGCGGUGUCUGCGGGACUCCAGCAUUCUCUGUGCGGACCGGGACUGGGGGUGUGGCGUUCUGGGAGCACCCAGCCAGAGACCACUGCCCCGUGCUUACCUGCAUGGCUAGCGGUUGCCGCCCGCACCGAGCGACGGACCGUGGGAGCCUGCAGAGGACUGUUGGGAACAACCACGUCCUACUGCCGGCAGGAAGGGAAGGAUCAGAUCAUAUUUGUGACCAAAGACCAUGAAACUCCUAGCAGUGCCGAGCUGGUGGCUGAUGACCCCAAUGAUCCCUAUGAGGAGCACACGUUGAUACUGCCUAACGGAGAUAUUAACUGGAAUUGCCCAUGUCUUGGGGGAAUGGCCAGUGGCCUCUGUGGGGAGCAGUUCAAGUCUGCCUUUUCCUGCUUCCACUACAGCACAGAGGAUAUCAAGGGAUCAGACUGUAUAGACCAGUUCCGGGCCAUGAAAGAGUGCAUGCAGAAAUACACGGACCUCUAUCCCCAAGAUGAGGAGGAGGAGCCGGUGGAGGAGACAGCUGACACCAAGGUCUCUGCAGCCAAAGAGCAGGGGGCAAGCUCUUGA